Molecule: long non-coding RNA, 2176 nt
Filed under: Salmo salar (Atlantic salmon)
Lineage: Eukaryota; Metazoa; Chordata; Actinopteri; Salmoniformes; Salmonidae
Description: lncRNA (ENSSSAG00000086538.1, ENSSSAG00000111739.1)
Source: RNAcentral
AGAGGAAGAGAGCAGGACCCAGAAAGACAGACAUAUAGAGAGAGCGAGGAAGAGAAGUGAGUGUGGUCAUCUCAAUGGUCUCUGCUGUGGUCUCUGCUGUAACACUGAAUCUGAACGGAAUGGAGGGAUUAAACGGAGGGAUUUAAACCUUUUUGGAGGAAGAAGAAGAACGAGUGACAAAAGAAGGAGUAUUUCAGGAUCGGGAGAGCAGCAGGAUUGAAAGGGAGUCUGGGGUUGUAUCCCAAAGGGCACCCUAUUCCCUAUAUAGUGCACUACUUUUGUCCAGAGCCCAAUGGGCCCAAAAGAAGUGCACCAGGGUGUCUUUUGGGGACUCAGGCGUAGCCAGCAUGCUCCAUAGAGUGGUACUCCUCUAUGUGUCCCGGUGAGGUGUUCUUACAAAUGGAAAGUGAAUAGGCUUUAUAUCUCUGCUCUCUCAAUAUAAUGCUUUACUAAAAGACCGUUUCUCAUCUUCUCAACACCUUCUUUUAUUUCCCUCCCUCUGUUUAUCUUGUUCUCCUCACUUUCACUCUUUUUUCAUAUUUUCUUUCAUCAUGUCUAUCUCUAACCUCUCUUCUCUUUCUCCUGCUCCCCCUUCUCUCUCUCUCUCUCUCUCUCUCUCUCUCUCUCUCUCUCUAUCUGUGUCCAUGGCCCCUUGUGGUGAUUGAGCUCUGCCUAUAUAGGACACACUAACCCCACACCUGAAAUCUCUGGCUCCUGAUUGGAUGCUGCCUCCCAAGCAAACAGGAAGUUCAGGGUUUCUACUAAAUACCCAGAGGCUCGGUUACCAUAGAGACAAAGAUAAGUGGGAGAGUGAACAGUGCUCUCUUUAUUUCUGCUUUAUGAAGGUAAUCUCAGGUUCUCUCUUCUCUCCCAUCUCUCCUUUAUGUUUCUCUUUUGUGUUUCACUGAACCACCUCCAUCCAUCACACAUUCUCCAGUCUAGUGCGUGCCUCUGUGUAUGAACGUCCUGGGCUAUUCUCCCAGAGACUAACGUUGACGCUGUAAAAACGAUGACUGAAAAAAGCUGACGCCCAAACCAAUAUUUCAUUUCAGAAUGGAUAAAAAGUUGGUUAAGGUUAAGGUUAGGGUAAGGGUUAGGUCAAGGUUAAGGGGUUUGGUUAAGGUUAGGGUUAAGGUAAGGGUUAGGGUUAGGUCAUGGUUAAGGUGUUUGGUUGGGGUUAGGGUUAAGGUAAGGGUUAGGUCAUGGCUAAGGGGUUUGGUUGGGGUUAGGGUUAAGGUAAGGGUUAGAGUUAGGUCAUGGUUAAGGUGUUUGGUUGGGGUUAAGGUUAAGGUUAGGGUAAGGGUUAGGUCAUGGUUAAGGUGUUUGGUUGGGGUUAGGGUUAAGGUAAGGGUCAGUUUUAGGUUUUGGCUAGUCGGUUUAAGCGUCAGCUAUGUCCUUAUAGUCUCUCCCGUUGACCCUGUCCCUGUAUGGUUGGUUCACUGACCAUGUCCUACUCAGCUCCUCUCCUCUAAAGUCACUGUGUGUGUGUGUGUGUGUGUGUGUGUGUGUGUGUGUGUGUGUGUGUGUGUGUGUGUGUGUGUGUGUGUGUGUGUGUGUUUACUUGCGUAUGCGUGUGAAUGAAUGACAUGAACUAAUGAAUUACAUUUUAUUUUUGAGUCAAAUCUCCAGUUGGCAACCCAUCCCUUACGGGAUUAAUUGACACAUAAACAAACAUUACAAUAGUUCACAGUGAUAAUUCAGUGAUAAUUCAAUGAUAAUUCUUCUGGUGCACACCGCAUAAAGAAUUAAAAAUAAAUCAAUACACAAUAGUAAAUAAGGUUAUUCAAACAGUAAUAAUAACCCUAGAGCAGUAAAAAAUAAUACAAAUAAAUAAAUUACAGAAAAACUAUGCUGUGAUGUCAGGAUGGUGUGUGUGUGUGUGUUUUGUGUGUCUGAAACAGUGAUACGGCUGGCGGGUCGUUAAUUGAUUUCAUGAGUAUUGUGUCCCACAGGCUCUCAAACUGCCUCUCCAUUCAAUAACGUUUCAAGGUCCCUUUCUCCCUCUCUCCCGCUCUCUUGCUUUCUCUCUCUUUUUCUCAAUCUUUCUCGCUUUCUCUCUCUGUAACUACUGGAGUUGGGCAGCAUUAUCGUUGUUACUGCAGUGCUUCCUGUUGACGUUGUGUUAACGGGGAAAGGCUUCUCGGCAGGAAACCUGUCAGGCACUGUUACAUGCGCG